GUAGAAUUUUGAUUGGAUUUAAAUAUAAAAGAAGGUAUAAAAAAGCAGAAAAUAUAUUUCCAUAUAACUCAUGAGUCAAGUUAUCAAAAUGGACAUUUGAACAUACUUAGAAUUGAAUGAUAAUAAAACUAUCAAAUAACAACUUCAUGGGAUAUAAUAAAAUUUAUAAUGUCAACUAUUAUAAAAAUUUUUGAAAAUUCAAGAUAGACAUCCAAUUUAAGAAAUAAAGGAAGCAUACAGUCAAGUAAAUUAUGAAUAAUAAAACAAAUUAUUAAGAUUAAAAGGAGAUUCUCAAAAUGAAAUUUGAUUCAGUAAAAAGACCAUUGUCUUCAGUAAAAAGACCUAUGUUUUCAAGUUGAAUUGAAAGCCAAAACAUAUUUUAACUAUAUUUUAAACAAGUUGAAUUGAAAGCCAAAACAUAUUUUAACAUAUUUUAACCAUAACCAAAACAUAUUUUGACCAUAUCCCUUAUUAUUGAGGGAGGUAUUUCUUCCCUAGUGCUGUGGGGAUGACUUGGACAGAAACCACUGGACACUAUACAGAUGUAGACUGACAGUUUACUGGUCACCUGCACUAACAGCCUGAGAGAAAAGGACACUGCAUAUCACAGAGAGAUGCAUAGAUGUUACACUCAGAAAGAGAGUGAACAACUAGAAGAUGUGGAAGAACCAGUUUGGCUCUGGAGUCAAGAAUUCUCAAAACAGCUUUCUGAACCUGAAUCGCACGCAGUAAAGCUGGUGUUCUCCUGAAGCCAACAUUUAUGGUAUCACCUUGCUGAUCCAGGCAAAAUGGCAAAAGUGUAGUGAACAUAAAGCCAGGGGCUGAGAUUGUGGAUGUCCUCUGUACCAAGUUUCUUAUUAUGGUAAGGGUAGAAGUUCACCAGGUCAGUAAUGUGAUUUUGUCCAAAGAGCCAUUUCUGGAGAUCUAGCCUAAACAUUGCUCCUCCAACUCUUCCCAUAAUUUGUUAACAAUUGAAUAAUUGUUCUGUUUAAAAUAGUUUGGAUGUUUUAUGUUUUCUGCAACUUUACUGUUAUCAUAACAAAGACAUAAAUAAAGAUCUAAAUAAAGUCAGAAA
RNAcentral lists this long non-coding RNA (1075 nucleotides) under Homo sapiens (human). RNAcentral's name for it is "long intergenic non-protein coding RNA 1360". The record is from RNAcentral. Lineage: Eukaryota; Metazoa; Chordata; Mammalia; Primates; Hominidae.